UACAGGGGGUGCUAGCGUUGUUCGGAAUUACUGGGCGUAAAGGGCGCGUAGGCGGUCUUGCAAGUCAGGGGUGAAAUACCGGAGCUUAACUCCGGAAUUGCUUUUGAUACUGCAAGGCUAGAGUGUAUUAGAGGAUGGCGGAAUUCCUAGUGUAGAAGUGAAAUUCGUAGAUAUUAGGAAGAACACCGGUGGCGAAGGCGGCCAUCUGGGAUACAACUGACGCUGAGGCGCGAAAGCGUGGGGAUCAAACAGGAUUAGAUACCCCUGUAGUCC
Molecule: ribosomal RNA, 273 nt
Filed under: uncultured bacterium
Lineage: Bacteria
Description: partial 16S ribosomal RNA
Rfam family: Bacterial small subunit ribosomal RNA
Source: RNAcentral